Molecule: ribosomal RNA, 164 nt
Filed under: Agrostis canina (velvet bentgrass)
Lineage: Eukaryota; Viridiplantae; Streptophyta; Magnoliopsida; Poales; Poaceae
Description: 5.8S ribosomal RNA
Rfam family: 5.8S ribosomal RNA
About the family: 5.8S ribosomal RNA (5.8S rRNA) is a component of the large subunit of the eukaryotic ribosome. It is transcribed by RNA polymerase I as part of the 45S precursor that also contains 18S and 28S rRNA.
Source: RNAcentral
CACACGACUCUCGGCAACGGAUAUCUCGGCUCUCGCAUCGAUGAAGGACGUAGCGAAAUGCGAUACCUGGUGUGAAUUGCAGAAUCCCGCGAACCAUCGAGUCUUUGAACGCAAGUUGCGCCCGAGGCCAUUCGGCUGAGGGCACGCCUGCCUGGGCGUCACGC